GCUUAUGAUUAGUGGCUAUGAAGUGGAUUUAGGGUGUUAUGGUGAUGUAGUGUGAGAGGUUUUAUUGCUUAUGAUUAGUGGCUAUGAAGUGGAUUUAGGGUGUUAUGGUGAUGUAGUGUGAGAGGUUUUAUUGCUUAUGAUUAGUGGCUAUGAAGUGGAUUUAGGGUGUUAUGGUGAUGUAGUGUGAGAGGUUUUAUUGCUUAUGAUUAGUGGCUAUGAAGUGGAUUUAGGGUGUUAUGGUGAUGUAGUGUGAGAGGUUUUAUUGCUUAUGAUUAGUGGCUAUGAAGUGGAUUUAGGGUGUUAUGGUGAUGUAGUGUGAGAGGUUUUAUUGCUUAUGAUUAGUGGCUAUGAAGUGG
This is a long non-coding RNA of Alosa alosa (allis shad), 356 nucleotides long. RefSeq lists it as uncharacterized. The transcript is spliced from 3 exons. The record is from RefSeq and is a predicted model, not a curated record. Lineage: Eukaryota; Metazoa; Chordata; Actinopteri; Clupeiformes; Clupeidae.